GGCGUUGUAAAAAAACGGCGGGUGAGUCGGGGUGACGGUGACUCUUCCUCAGCUACUAAAUCUGGCAAACUUGAGAGCCCGCUCGUCGUUUAGGCCUGAUGGGGCCCGCAGUUUCGACGGCGACGACGACCGUCAUCUGAGAUCUUGGCGUCGCAAACUCCUCUCCUCCCUCACCGCCGUCAAACUCAAGCUUACCUGGACCUCCGCCUUCAGAUUCGCCCUCCUCCUCUUCCUCCUCGCCGCCAUUGCCACCGCC
This 256-nucleotide long non-coding RNA is filed under the name Rosa chinensis. RNAcentral's name for it is "sRNA RchiOBHm_Chr6g0291421". Lineage: Eukaryota; Viridiplantae; Streptophyta; Magnoliopsida; Rosales; Rosaceae. The record is from RNAcentral.